Molecule: ribosomal RNA, 488 nt
Filed under: uncultured bacterium
Lineage: Bacteria
Description: partial 16S ribosomal RNA
Rfam family: Bacterial small subunit ribosomal RNA
Source: RNAcentral
GACGAACGCUGGCGGCGUGCUUAACACAUGCAAGUCGAACGGAAAGGCCCUGCUUUUGUGGGGUUCUCGAGUGGCGAACGGGUGAGUAACACGUGAGUAACCUGCCCUUGACUUUGGGAUAACUUCAGGAAACUGAGGCUAAUACAGGACAGGAGCUCCUUCUGCAUGGUGGGGGCUGGAAAGUUUCGGCGUUUGGGGAUGAACUCGGGGCUUAUCAGCUUGUUGGUUGGGUAGUGGCGUACCAAGGCUUUGACUAGUAGACGACCUGAGAGGGUGAUAGGCCACACUGGGACUGAACCACGGCCCAGACUCCUACGGGAGGCAGCAGAAGGGAACGGUACGCAAUGGACGAAAGUCUGACGGAGCAAUGCGGAGUGAGUGAAGAAGGUUUUCGGAUCGGAAAACUCUCUUGUAAGGGAAGAACAAGUACGGUAGUAACUGAAGGUAGCGUGACGGUAAUGGAUCAGAAAGCAACGGCUAACUACGUG